GCCCAAACUCCUACGGGAGGCAGCAGUAGGGAAUCUUCCACAAUGGACGCAAGUCUGAUGGAGCAACGCCGCGUGAGUGAAGAAGGUUUUCGGCUCGUAAAGCUCUGUUGGUAGUGAAGAAAGAUAGAGGUAGUAACUGGCCUUUAUUUGACGGUAAUUACUUAGAAAGUCACGGCUAACUACGUGCCAGCAGCCGCGGUAAU
RNAcentral lists this ribosomal RNA (203 nucleotides) under uncultured bacterium. RNAcentral describes it as "partial 16S ribosomal RNA". It matches the Rfam family "Bacterial small subunit ribosomal RNA", at positions 329 to 524 of the family's 1533-position model. The record is from RNAcentral.